AUAUAUAAAUCAACCUUCUCUUGAUGAGUGGUUUGGAUGUGGGGGUUUGCUGGCAGCCUCUUUGAGGAUUCAGCUCCCCUGAAAUGCAUUAGCAGAACAAACCCGUUCAUUGGUGUGAUAACUAUCUACGCUAUUGAAUGUGAGGUGACAGUUCAGCUUUCUAACAGUCUUUGGACAAAUUCAUCAUUA
RNAcentral lists this unclassified non-coding RNA (189 nucleotides) under uncultured Cortinarius. Its description in RNAcentral is "sequence contains ITS2". Lineage: Eukaryota; Fungi; Basidiomycota; Agaricomycetes; Agaricales; Cortinariaceae. The record is from RNAcentral.